RNAcentral lists this ribosomal RNA (439 nucleotides) under uncultured bacterium. RNAcentral's name for it is "partial 16S ribosomal RNA". It matches the Rfam family "Bacterial small subunit ribosomal RNA", at positions 338 to 795 of the family's 1533-position model. The record is from RNAcentral.
CCUACGGGUGGCAGCAGUGGGGAAUAUUGCACAAUGGAGGAAACCCUGAUGCAGCAACGCCGCGUGAGUGAAGAAGUUCUUCGGAAUGUAAACCUCUAUCUGUGGGGAAGAAAAUGACGGUACCUGAAUAAGAAGCCCCGGCUAACUACGUGCCAGCAGCCGCGGUAAUACGUAGGGAGCGAGCGUUAUCCGGAAUUACUGGGUGUAACGGGAGCGUAGACGGGAGGGCAAGUUGAAUGUGAAAUCCAGGGGCUAAACUCGGGGCUGCGUUUGAAACUUCAUGUCUGGAGUGCAGGAGAGGCAGGCGGAAUUCCUAGUGUAGCGGUGAAAUGCGUAGAUAUUAGGAAGAACACCAGUGGCGAAGGCGGCUUGCUGGACAGUAACUGACGUUGAGGCUCGAAAGCGUGGGGAGCAAACAGGAUUAGAUACCCGAGUAGUC